AAAUUGAAGAGUUUGAUCAUGGCUCAGAUUGAACGCUGGCGGCAGGCCUAACACAUGCAAGUCGAACGGUAACAGGAAGCAGCUUGCUGCUUUGCUGACGAGUGGCGGACGGGUGAGUAAUGUCUGGGAAACUGCCUGAUGGAGGGGGAUAACUACUGGAAACGGUGGCUAAUACCGCAUAACGUCGCAAGACCAAAGAGGGGGACCUUCGGGCCUCUUGCCAUCAGAUGUGCCCAGAUGGGAUUAGCUAGUUGGUGAGGUAACGGCUCACCAAGGCGACGAUCCCUAGCUGGUCUGAGAGGAUGACCAGCCACACUGGAACUGAGACACGGUCCAGACUCCUACGGGAGGCAGCAGUGGGGAAUAUUGCACAAUGGGCGCAAGCCUGAUGCAGCCAUGCCGCGUGUAUGAAGAAGGCCUUCGGGUUGUAAAGUACUUUCAGCGGGGAGGAAGGUGUUGUGGUUAAUAACCACAGCAAUUGACGUUACCCGCAGAAGAAGCACCGGCUAACUCCGUGCCAGCAGCCGCGGUAAUACGGAGGGUGCAAGCGUUAAUCGGAAUUACUGGGCGUAAAGCGCACGCAGGCGGUCUGUCAAGUCGGAUGUGAAAUCCCCGGGCUCAACCUGGGAACUGCAUUCGAAACUGGCAGGCUUGAGUCUUGUAGAGGGGGGUAGAAUUCCAGGUGUAGCGGUGAAAUGCGUAGAGAUCUGGAGGAAUACCGGUGGCGAAGGCGGCCCCCUGGACAAAGACUGACGCUCAGGUGCGAAAGCGUGGGGAGCAAACAGGAUUAGAUACCCUGGUAGUCCACGCCGUAAACGAUGUCUACUUGGAGGUUGUGCCCUUGAGGCGUGGCUUCCGGAGCUAACGCGUUAAGUAGACCGCCUGGGGAGUACGGCCGCAAGGUUAAAACUCAAAUGAAUUGACGGGGGCCCGCACAAGCGGUGGAGCAUGUGGUUUAAUUCGAUGCAACGCGAAGAACCUUACCUGGUCUUGACAUCCACAGAACUUUCCAGAGAUGGAUUGGUGCCUUCGGGAACUGUGAGACAGGUGCUGCAUGGCUGUCGUCAGCUCGUGUUGUGAAAUGUUGGGUUAAGUCCCGCAACGAGCGCAACCCUUAUCCUUUGUUGCCAGCGGUUAGGCCGGGAACUCAAAGGAGACUGCCAGUGAUAAACUGGAGGAAGGUGGGGAUGACGUCAAGUCAUCAUGGCCCUUACGACCAGGGCUACACACGUGCUACAAUGGCGCAUACAAAGAGAAGCGACCUCGCGAGAGCAAGCGGACCUCAUAAAGUGCGUCGUAGUCCGGAUUGGAGUCUGCAACUCGACUCCAUGAAGUCGGAAUCGCUAGUAAUCGUGGAUCAGAAUGCCACGGUGAAUACGUUCCCGGGCCUUGUACACACCGCCCGUCACACCAUGGGAGUGGGUUGCAAAAGAAGUAGGUAGCUUAACCUUCGGGAGGGCGCUUACCACUUUGUGAUUCAUGACUGGGGUGAAGUCGUAACAAGGUAACCGUAGGGGAACCUGCGGUUGGAUCACCUCCUUA
This 1542-nucleotide ribosomal RNA is filed under the name Salmonella enterica subsp. enterica serovar Heidelberg. RNAcentral's name for it is "bacterial SSU rRNA". It matches the Rfam family "Bacterial small subunit ribosomal RNA". The record is from RNAcentral. Lineage: Bacteria; Pseudomonadati; Pseudomonadota; Gammaproteobacteria; Enterobacterales; Enterobacteriaceae. RNAcentral also lists the same sequence under 12 other names.